UCCCUCUUAGCUCAGCUGGUAGAGCGCGUCACUAGUAUCCGCAACCAUAAGUGCAUAAUGACGAGGUCAGUCGUUCAAGUCGGCUAGAGGGAA
This is a non-coding RNA of Armillaria fumosa, 93 nucleotides long. The record is from the annotation of a GenBank genome assembly. Lineage: Eukaryota; Fungi; Basidiomycota; Agaricomycetes; Agaricales; Physalacriaceae.